This 257-nucleotide unclassified non-coding RNA is filed under the name Hevea brasiliensis (rubber tree). The record is from RNAcentral. Lineage: Eukaryota; Viridiplantae; Streptophyta; Magnoliopsida; Malpighiales; Euphorbiaceae.
ACAAGAACAUAAAUUUCAGUAAUUGAGUACUAUUAUUUAUGUUGGAUCAUCUACAUAAAGGAAUACUUGUAUUCUUUUGGUUUCUGCCAUCAUAUGCAUAUUGAUUUUAUUUGCUCGUGUGUGCAUAUUUGUAUUACUUGUAACUAAGUCAUCUAUUAUAAAAUUUUAAACUCAAUAUUAAAUAACAGCAGCUAAUUUCAUUAGUGAUUUUGAUUUUUUGAAUAAUAAGUUCAUACCUCUCCAGAAAUUUUCUUGAA